Molecule: long non-coding RNA, 761 nt
Filed under: Brassica napus (rape)
Lineage: Eukaryota; Viridiplantae; Streptophyta; Magnoliopsida; Brassicales; Brassicaceae
Description: long non-coding RNA (BNAP_LNC010670)
Source: RNAcentral
UGCAUAGAUUUAAAACACAAUUGUCUUCUACAAAAAUAAACAAUCAACCACCAAAAUACAUGAAUACUUAAAAAAGGAAGACUCGGAAACAAGCAGAAGAUAGAGAAGUUACUCGAAGCAAGGCGCCAAAUUUAUUUAUUUUCUUUAAAGAAAAUUUAAGGACAUCAAUUUAAAUUAAUAUAUAGUGGCUUGAAAGAGUUCAUGUGUCUUGUGGAUGAAGAUUCCGAACCUCAUCUCCCCCAGUUUAAGGGGCAUCCUUUCUUUGGUCAGCUUUAGAUGUCAUAUAUAUUAUGGUCGGUGGCACUGACUCGAAGCUUUUGUAAGCUUGGAUUACAGAAGCCACCGUCCCAAUCAGAGUCAAAAACAAGAGAAACACGGCUGCACAUGUAGCUGUUCCGGUCAACAAGUCGGGGAAGUAGACUUUGCUGAGAGUGGCCCAAUACCUAUUUCUCCGAGAUUUAUAGUGAGCUUUGAGAUUCAUGGCUAUGCUGCGGUAUUGCGAACUUUUUUUUUUGAUAACUCUGGUAUCUGGGCAGCCACAGUCCCAACUAUCCCCCCGUAGGGGGUCCAGCGCCCCAGCGGAAGGGAUGUUAAAUCCGCUGUGGCAGGGGCUCGAAGUCGUGAUGGCGGGCACCUCAGCCGAGGUUCCUUUACCACUAGCCGAGGUAUUGCGAACUUGUCGGUUCCUUCAGGCCACGGUUUAAAUCGUUUAUCAUCUGCACCACCAAGUUUGGACUACCCAUACGGUUUCUUAGUACCCC